Molecule: ribosomal RNA, 687 nt
Filed under: Patescibacteria group bacterium
Lineage: Bacteria
Description: bacterial SSU rRNA
Rfam family: Bacterial small subunit ribosomal RNA
Source: RNAcentral
CUUAUUGAGAGUUUGAUCCUGGCUCAGGAUGAACGCUGGCGACGUGUCUAAGGCAUGCAAGUCGAGGGGUUCGUAGCAAUACGGACACCGGCAAACGGGUGCGUAACACAUUGGUAACUUACCCCGAAGUCAUGAAUAAGUCUGCGAAAGCGGGUCUAAUACAUGAUGGCAGCGAGGGGACUAAAGUCAUUCUCGCUUAAAGAUUUAUCGCUUCGGGAAAGGCCUAUGGCCUAUCAGCUAGUUGGAGAGGUAAUGGCUCACCAAGGCUAUGACGGGUAGCGGGAUUGAGAGAUCGACCCGCCUCACUGGGACUGAGACACUGCCCAGACUCCUACGGGAGGCUGCAGUCAAGAAUAUUCCCCAAUGGCCGAAAGGCUGAGGGAGCGACGUCGCGUGCAUGAAGAAACCCUUCGGGGUGUAAAAUGCUUUUAACUGGGAUGAACCCCUUACCACUUUCCGUGAAAUACUACGGAGCUAUAAUAUUAAAUAAUUUUUCGCACAAAUAAUUAUUUAUUAUUUUUUCAUAGAAAGUGGCAAGGGGUGACAGUACCAGUUGAAUAAGGGGCUGCUAAACUCGUGCCAGCAGCAGCGGUAAUACGAGUGCCCCAAGCGUUAUCCGGAUUUAUUGGGCGUAAAGCGUACGUAGGUGGUUUAUCGCAUCUCCUGUUAAAUCCCGAGGCUCAACCU